This is a non-coding RNA of Podarcis lilfordi (Lilford's wall lizard), 85 nucleotides long. Lineage: Eukaryota; Metazoa; Chordata; Lepidosauria; Squamata; Lacertidae. The record is from the annotation of a GenBank genome assembly.
UCGAGGGAUAGCUCAAUUGUUAGAGCAUGAGACUCUCACUCUCUUAAUCUCAGGGCUGUGGGUUUGAGCCCCACACGGGGCAAAA